UGGGGAAUAUUGGACAAUGGGCGAAAGCCUGAUCCAGCCAUGCCGCGUGUGUGAAGAAGGUCUUCGGAUUGUAAAGCACUUUAAGUUGGGAGGAAGGGCAUUAACCUAAUACGUUAGUGUUUUGACGUUACCGACAGAAUAAGCACCGGCUAACUCUGUGCCAGCAGCCGCGGUAAUACAGAGGGUGCAAGCGUUAAUCGGAAUUACUGGGCGUAAAGCGCGCGUAGGUGGUUUGGUAAGUUGGAUGUGAAAUCCCCGGGCUCAACCUGGGAACUGCAUUCAAAACUGACUGACUAGAGUAUGGUAGAGGGUGGUGGAAUUUCCUGUGUAGCGGUGAAAUGCGUAGAUAUAGGAAGGAACACCAGUGGCGAAGGCGACCACCUGGACUAAUUCUGACACUGAGGUGCGAAAGCGUGGGGAGCAAACA
This 427-nucleotide ribosomal RNA is filed under the name uncultured bacterium. RNAcentral describes it as "partial 16S ribosomal RNA". It matches the Rfam family "Bacterial small subunit ribosomal RNA", at positions 355 to 774 of the family's 1533-position model. The record is from RNAcentral.